GGCUCAUUGGUCUAGGGGUAUGAUUCUCGCUUAGUUUGCGAGAGGUCCUGGGUUCAAAUCCCGGACGAGCCC
RNAcentral lists this transfer RNA (72 nucleotides) under Danio rerio (zebrafish). Its description in RNAcentral is "tRNA-Thr (AGT) (tRNA-Thr-AGT-35-1)". It matches the Rfam family "tRNA". Rfam says of the family: Transfer RNA (tRNA) molecules are approximately 80 nucleotides in length. Their secondary structure includes four short double-helical elements and three loops (D, anti-codon, and T loops). Lineage: Eukaryota; Metazoa; Chordata; Actinopteri; Cypriniformes; Danionidae. The record is from Rfam by way of RNAcentral.